RNAcentral lists this ribosomal RNA (253 nucleotides) under uncultured bacterium. RNAcentral describes it as "partial 16S ribosomal RNA". It matches the Rfam family "Bacterial small subunit ribosomal RNA", at positions 524 to 776 of the family's 1533-position model. The record is from RNAcentral.
UACAGAGGGUGCGAGCGUUGUCCGGAAUCACUGGGCGUAAAGGGCGCGUAGGCGGCUUGAUAAGGUUGCGGUGAAAGCCCGGGGCUCAACCCCGGGUCGGCCGUGGCAACUGUCGAGCUGGAGCACUGUAGAGGCAGGUGGAAUUCCGGGUGUAGCGGUGGAAUGCGUAGAUAUCGGGAGGAACACCUGUGGCGAAGGCUGCUUUCUGGGCCCUACCUGACGCUGAGACGCGAAAGCGUGGGGAGCGAACCGG